RNAcentral lists this ribosomal RNA (206 nucleotides) under uncultured bacterium. RNAcentral describes it as "partial 16S ribosomal RNA". It matches the Rfam family "Bacterial small subunit ribosomal RNA", at positions 1286 to 1500 of the family's 1533-position model. The record is from RNAcentral.
UCUCAGUUCGGAUCGGAGUCUGCAACCCGACUCCGUGAAGCUGGAUUCGCUAGUAAUCGCGCAUCAGCCAUGGCGCGGUGAAUACGUUCCCGGGCCUUGUACACACCGCCCGUCAAGCCAUGGGAGCCGGGGGUGCUUGAAGUGCGUCGCCGCAAGGCGCGCCCUAGAGCAAAACCGGUGACUGGGCUAAGUCGUAACAAGGUAGC